Molecule: ribosomal RNA, 253 nt
Filed under: uncultured bacterium
Lineage: Bacteria
Description: partial 16S ribosomal RNA
Rfam family: Bacterial small subunit ribosomal RNA
Source: RNAcentral
UACGGGGGGGGCAAGCGUUGUUCGGAAUUACUGGGCGUAAAGGGCUCGUAGGCGGCCAACUAAGUCAGACGUGAAAUCCCUCGGCUUAACCGGGGAACUGCGUCUGAUACUGGAUGGCUUGAAUCCGGGAGAGGGAUGCGGAAUUCCAGGUGUAGCGGUGAAAUGCGUAGAUAUCGUGAGGAAGACCAGUGGCGAAGGCGGAUCUCUGGACAGUUCCUGACGCUGAGGCACGAAGGCCAGGGGAGCAAACGGG